RNAcentral lists this non-coding RNA (47 nucleotides) under unclassified sequences. The record is from RNAcentral.
UGGGGCCACGACGCGAACGCCCCGUGAGGCUUUGGCCAAAGGUUCGC